This 438-nucleotide ribosomal RNA is filed under the name uncultured bacterium. Its description in RNAcentral is "bacterial SSU rRNA". It matches the Rfam family "Bacterial small subunit ribosomal RNA", at positions 954 to 1392 of the family's 1533-position model. The record is from RNAcentral.
GCAUAACGCGAAGAACCUUACCUAGGCUUGACAUGCAUCUCUAAGCGCGUGAAAGCGCGUGACCCUUCGGGGGAUUUGCACAGGUGCUGCAUGGCCGUCGUCAGCUCGUGUCGUGAGAUGUUGGGUUAAGUCCCGCAACGAGCGCAACCCUUGUGAUUAGUUGCCAGCACGUCAUGGUGGGAACUCUAAUCAGACUGCCCAGAUCAACUGGGAGGAAGGUGGGGACGACGUCAGGUCAGUAUGGCCCUUACGCCUAGGGCUGCACACGUACUACAAUGCCCAGUACAAUGAGAACCGAGACCGCGAGGUGGAGGAAAUCUAAAAAACUGGGCCCAGUUCGGAUUGGAGGCUGCAACUCGCCUCCAUGAAGCCGGAAUCGCUAGUAAUGGCACAUCAGCUACGGUGCCGUGAAUACGUUCCCGGGUCUUGUACACACCG